Molecule: long non-coding RNA, 4186 nt
Filed under: Podarcis lilfordi (Lilford's wall lizard)
Lineage: Eukaryota; Metazoa; Chordata; Lepidosauria; Squamata; Lacertidae
Source: RNAcentral
GAUGCAGGCAGCUUCCAAGUACAAAUAAGAGAAACGGGACAUUCAUUUAAGGUCUCUUUUAUGGUAUCUGGGAAUGGCAAGAUGUCUCUUAAGUGAGUAAGUAAAACAAAUAUUCCUCUAGGUUGCCUUGCUUGUCUACUGUAGUCAUAACAAUGUUUAUCUUUAUAUUUCUCUUUACGUCAAUUCCAAGGCUGUAUGAUUAUUUUAUCUUGUCUGCUUUAUAAAGGGAUUGGUAAGGAAAUAGCUUUAUUGUAUUAUUAGUAUUUUGUACUGUGCUUGAUUUUUAUUCUAUAUAUAAGGGGUUUAAAUUUCUGUUUUGAGAUUGAUUGAUUGAUUUGUCUUUGAAAUAUCUUUAAUACACUGUUUGAUUUCUUUUGUGUUGUAUUGUAUCCCUGUACAGUCAUACCUCAGAAGCCGAACAGAAUCCAUUCCGGAAGUCCGUUCGACUUCCAAAAUGUUCAGAAAUCAAGGUGCAGCUUCCGAUUGGUUUCCGAUUGUGCAGGCACGCUGGAAACAAUAGCGGAAGCAGCGCCGGACAUUUGGCUUCCAAAAAAGAUUCGAAAACCUUCUGGUUUUCAAUCGUUUGGGAACCAGAACGUUCAACUCCCAAGGUGUUCGGGAGCCAAGGUAUGACUGUAUUCGAUUUUUAAAUUCUACAUUGAUUGGACUUUUUGUUUGAUAUUUGAACUCUAUUUUGUAAAAACUCCAGCGGGUGCAGAAUGCUGCAGCGAGACUCCUUACGAGGUCUUCGCUGCGAGAUCACAUACACCCAGUGCUAUACCAGCUGCACUGGCUCCCGGUGGAGUACAGGAUCAGGUUUAAGGUGCUGGUUUUAACCUUUAAAGCCCUAUACAGCCUAGGACCCUCGUACCUACGGGACCGCCUCUCCUGGUAUGCCCCAUAGAGGAACUUACGGUCUUCAAAUAAAAACAUCUUGAAGGUCCCAGGCCACAGAGAGGUUAGGCUGGCCUCAACCAGAGCCAGGGCUUUUUCGGCUGUGGCUCCGAUCUGGUGGAACACUCUGUCACAAGAGACUAGGGCCCUGCGGGACUUGACAUCUUUCCGCAGGGCCUGCAAGACAGAGCUGUUCCACCAGGCCUUUGGCCAGGGCACAGCCUGACUCCCUCCCUCGGCAAUCUUCGCGGAGCUCUGGCCCAAUGGUUGCCAGUGGCUUGAAUUAAUGAAUUUUAUAAUGAAUGAUUUUAGAGUGUUGUUUAUGCUGUACUUUUGUAUUGUUUUAUUGUUGUUAGCCGCCCUGAGCCCGGCUUCGGCUGGGGAGGGCGGGAUAUAAAUAAAAAUUAUUAUUAUUAUUAUUAUUAUUAUUAUUAUUAUUAUUAUUAUUAUUAAAUGGUUUGAUAUUCUUUUGCCUGCUACUGGACCUCUGCUUUGUAUAAUGUUCUGCAAUUCUAUUAGAUUCUUAUUUUCUGUAAAUUGCUUUUGAAUAUAAAGCAAUUAAGACAUUUUAUAAUAUAUUGCAAGCACAAAAGUCGAGGAAACUAAGCAUGUUCAUUAAGCAAGCAUGCGAUUGCUAGCAAACUCCUGAAUGCUGCAUCAACUGGCAAAGGCUUUCGGUGCAUAGUAUUUACCAAAUCUUCACCAGCCUUUUUGCAUCACUGGUCAUAGGCAACCAACAUACAAUUCCUACCCUUCCCUGGAGAAACAAGUUCCUUCACAUUCUUAAAAUGAAAGUAUGAAAGUUAAUCUUGUUUGUUUGUUUGUUUUAAAAAAGGUUAACCAUCAAAACCCAUUUCCCCACCAAAUACUUGCACUACAUAGUAACGUAAACCCCUGACAAAAAUUCAUUUAGAAACCAAAGUCUGCUUUGAACCAUUCUAGCCAAGAGAAGCCAAUCUGACUAAACUUGAAACAUGCAGGCUUGGGAAAUUCGUAAGAGAGAGAAAGUCAGCUUUAUUUGGCAAGCAGGGAACUGGCUGCCAGGAGAACAUCAAAACAACAAUGAAAACAAAAUACAAACUCGGGAGUGACACUUGGUAGCUGUUCUAGCAAAUCUCUUCGGAAAACUUUGGGUUUACAAACCAAAACACGGCUUCAGUCUUUUGUUGCAGUUGUAAAACAUUGAUACCUACUGCUAUCAGCUGCUGCUGAGAGCUACAGUGUUAUCACUGAAUGGAGAUUUUUAAAGGUAUUAAGCUUUUCCCCUCCUUUCUCAGCAACUAAAAAUCUAGGAGGAGGUGGCAGUAAGUUGCUUCUAAGUUGCAGGCCUUGAUGGCUGUCCUUUCAAAAUGUGACACAAAAAAAGAAUCAGUCAUGUUUAUAAGUUUGCAGCUUCUUAGCAGAAAUUCUGUUAGCAUUUUUUUAAAAUGCUGUGUUCCUGCCCACUUGCGCUGACACACACAAAGCCUUAACAACAGCAGUGAUUCACGGUCGGUUCCAGUCAUGCUCACAAGUGAUGUGGCACAUUUUCGGUGCCUCCGGUAUUUGCGUAAUUGAGCUUCAUUUGCUCUGCCCCCAGCCUGCGAGGAGUGCCAAAAAAGCAGCGGCGUCAUCUGCCCACAACUCAUCCUCCUACCUGCCUGAUGGAUGAUGCACGCAGCACGACACAGGAUGAGGAAGGGAGAAAAAUAAGGAUGACAAAAGCUGCAUUUGCUGAUCAGAGAAAGCUUCCUGAAUCAAAGCGGGGAGCGGGGGAAUAAGAAUGAAAGGCUGAUAACCAUGGAUUAGAGUCUCUAUUAGACACACAAACUUGCAACUUGUGUGUUUAACAUAUGCCAUUUUCAACUUUACACAGUUAAAGUCUGGCUGGUGGAAAAACACACAAAUUAAAUGCACAGAAGGCGGAGAGCUUAAAAGCUCAUUUUGUGCUGGGUUUUUCUGGGAGGCUCUCAGAUGGCCCUGCAAGAUCUCACAAGAACCUCACAGAGCCUAGUAAGUAAGGCAGAACACUUAAAAGCAGUUCCAAGGAGUUUUUGCGUGUCCCCGGAACAAAACCCUCACUCAAGUUGUGAGUUCCCUGUAUUGUAGCAAAAUUACCUGUUCUGAACAAAUUAAAUCUGUAUGCAUAUUGUGGCACAACUCGGUCUUAUUUACUCAGUAGUAAGUCCGACGGAAUUCAGUAGAACCUACUUCAUGAUAGGUGCGCAUAUCGUCUUUAAACGUUGGGAUUUUGGAAAGAUGUGUGAUGUGUUUCACUUCAUAGCAGGGCUUUAGGAAGUGACUUGGUCAAUAAAUCCAUCAGGACAAUGGGUGAAGGAGGGUGGAGCAUGGACUCUCUCUCUCUCUCUCUCUCUCUCUCUCUCUGUGGUGUGACGUUGUGCAUCCCCCAAACAUUCACCAGCUCCUCCAGCUCUCAAAAUCAGAGAACUCUGUGACCCCACAUGCCACCUCCCAUUAGGUGCCUAGAAGAUGGGAACCAGCUUGAGUCUGCUUCUCAGAAGAGCCCCUUUCAGUGGGAGAAUCCCCUAGCCAGAGUCCCCAGGAAAAGGGGAGGAAGGCAAAACAGACUCACAGCAUGAUCUUUCCAGACUUCCAGCAUGAAACAUGAAUGGCAGAACAAGAUGUCAGCAUGAACUUCUGGGCGCUUGGCUUUUGCCCCGUUCUACCAACCAAUGGGCACAGUGGCAAUUUCCCUUAACAUAAAAAGGUAAAGGACCCCUGACAGUUAAGUCCAGUUGCAAACAACUCUGGGGUUCUGGCGCUCAUCUCACUUUACUGGCCGAAGGAGCCGACGUUUGUCCGCAGACAGUUUUUCUGGGCCAUGUGGCCAGCAUGACUAAGCCGCUUCUGGCGAACCAGAGCAGCACACGGAAACGCCAUUUACCUUCCCGCCAGAGCGGUACCUGUUUAUCUACAUGCACUUUGAUGUGCUUUCGAACUGCUAGGUUGGCAGGAGCUGGGAAUGAGCAACGGGAGCUCACCCCGUUGCGGGGAUUCAAACCGUUGACAUUCUGAUCAGCAAGCCCUAGCCUCAGUGGUUUAGACCACACCACCACCCGCGUCCUUAACAUAGUUACCAUGAAUACACAUUUCUCUGUUAAAAAGCCUAGGGUGUUAUAUCGAUCUGGGGAGGAAAGACUCUCAACUUCUAUGCAACAUGGUAUCCUUUUAUUGACUUCAUUAACACAAUCGAACAUGGUUUCACCCUCCAUCAACUCAUGGAGAUACUUUCGUUUGAUUACCUUUCUUGGAAUGUCUAAAACUAUCAGCUGCUAUUUUUCUUUCUUUCCUG